GGUGGCUCAGUGGUAGAGUGCUUGCCUUACAAGCACAAGGCCCUGGGUUCAAUUCCUCAGCACCA
Molecule: transfer RNA, 65 nt
Filed under: Dipodomys ordii (Ord's kangaroo rat)
Lineage: Eukaryota; Metazoa; Chordata; Mammalia; Rodentia; Heteromyidae
Rfam family: tRNA
About the family: Transfer RNA (tRNA) molecules are approximately 80 nucleotides in length. Their secondary structure includes four short double-helical elements and three loops (D, anti-codon, and T loops). Further hydrogen bonds mediate the characteristic L-shaped molecular structure. tRNAs have two regions of fundamental functional importance: the anti-codon, which is responsible for specific mRNA codon recognition, and the 3' end, to which the tRNAs corresponding amino acid is attached (by aminoacyl-tRNA synthetases). tRNAs cope with the degeneracy of the genetic code in two manners: having more than one tRNA (with a specific anti-codon) for a particular amino acid; and 'wobble' base-pairing, i.e. permitting non-standard base-pairing at the 3rd anti-codon position.
Source: Rfam by way of RNAcentral